This 61-nucleotide ribosomal RNA is filed under the name Corymbia leptoloma. RNAcentral describes it as "partial 26S ribosomal RNA". It matches the Rfam family "Eukaryotic large subunit ribosomal RNA", at positions 1 to 60 of the family's 3401-position model. Lineage: Eukaryota; Viridiplantae; Streptophyta; Magnoliopsida; Myrtales; Myrtaceae. The record is from RNAcentral.
GCGACCCCAGGUCAAGCGGGGCUACCCGCUGAGUUUAAGCAUAUCAAUAAGCGGAGGAAAA